Molecule: long non-coding RNA, 797 nt
Organism: Mirounga angustirostris (Northern elephant seal)
Lineage: Eukaryota; Metazoa; Chordata; Mammalia; Carnivora; Phocidae
Exons: 3
Source: RefSeq, a predicted model, not a curated record
UCCCAACCCAGGUGUUUAGCUGCAGAACCUGGUUUGUAACUACUAAGCCAUACUACCUUCUCACAAGACAGUUCCCGGAUUUUACUCUUUCUUAGGUUCAGUCUUCAGGUAGUGUGAUCAGACUGUCUCUUAAACCCAAGCAAGAGGGACCUCUCCCCUGUGGUUCUUCUCUUGUAAUGCCCCCCCCUCCCAUGGGGUCAAGGAACCCGAACCCUCUUCUAGAGGAUGCUGCAGGGAGUCAGAAUUCUGGAAUCCUCUGCCCAAAGAGUACCAACCCUCCCCCAGGACUUGAUGGGACCUUUGAACUCAGGAGGGCAUCAGUAAAGAUGGAGAGAUGGAAAUCCAAGCAAUAGGAUGUCCGCUGAAUGGAAGUUUUGAGGAGAGAACAGAGGAGGAGUCUGAGGCCUCGAGUAGGAAUGCCAAAAACACAUCCUUUCUCUUCAACAGUCAAGAAAAGCCAAGAGACCUGAACUGGAGCUGAGAGGGUGAGACGUUGAGGAAGUUCAAGCAACAAGCAAACAUCUCUCCAUAAACAGAAAUGGCAAGGCAUCUGCUGAAAGAAGGAGGAAGGAUCUUGAUAACUCUUCUGGUCAUAUUCUAUUAAAAUUCCUGAGGGCUUUGUAUCAACACAUACAAAUAAAUAAUUACAAAAUUAACUGCUUAUCUCCCAUAUGCCAACCUUUGUGAAAAUACACACACAAACCACUGACUUAUGUGAAGAAAAGUUUCAUUACUAAUGGGAAAUUAAAUGAACUCAAUAAAACUGUCUUACGUAUGCAGUCUCUUGAGUUUUUCUU